UAAUGGGGUCCUAUGGGGUUUUAUGGGGAUUUAUUGGUCUUCCGGGGUUUAAUGGGGUCCUAUAGGUCUUAUGGGGUUUUAUGGGGUUCUAUGGGGCUUAAUGGGGUCCUGUGGGGCUUAAUGGGGUCCUAUGGGGUUUUAUGGGGUCUUUUGGGGUCUUACGGUGUUUAAUGGGGUCUUAUGGGAUCCUAUUGAGUUUAAUGGGGUCUUUUUAGAUCCUAUUGAGUUUUAUGGGGUCUUAUGGGGUCCUAUGGGGUCUUAUGGGGUUUUAUGGGGUCUUAUGGGGUCUUCAGGGGUUUUAUGGGGUCUUAUGGUGUCUUACGGUGUUUAAUGGGGUCUUAAAGGAUCCUAUUGAGUUUUAUGGGGUCCUAUGUGGUCCUAUGGGGUCUUAUGGGGUCCUAUGGGGUUUUAUGGGGUCCUAUGGGGUCUUACGGUGUUUAAUGGGGUCCUAUGGGGUCUUAUGGGGUCUUACGGUGUUUAAUGGGGUCUUAUGGGGUCAGAGAGUGUUUAUAGGCUCCUUAUGGGGUUUUAUGGGCUUUUAUGGGGUCUUAUGGUGUCCUAUGACCCCAUAAGACCCCAUAAGACCCCAUGAGACCCCAUGAGACCCCAUGAGACCCUAUAGGAACCAUAUAAACCCUCUUACCCCAUAUAUCCCAUAUAAGAUCCCAUAAAAAAUCCAUAUUGGGGACUUUAUAGGAACUUUAUAGGAUUUUUAUGGGGUUUUCAAGCCAUAAACCGAACUGCGCAUGCGCCGGAUCCCGCUACGUAAAAUGCGUAGGCGCGUCAUCGCCGUACGUAAAGUGCGGCCGCUCAACACCCUACUGCGCAUGCGCUGAGUCGGAAAACAACACUGCGCAUGCGCCCUCUUCUGUCACAAUUCACACUGCGCAUGCGCUCUCUCCUUCUCAAUUCACACUGCGCAUGUGCAGGAUCCCGAUUUCCAUCAAUUUGCGCAUGCGUGGUUGCUCCGUUUAGCACACCGCGCAUGCGCAGGCUCAAGUCGCCGCGCUGCGCAUGCGCUGUUGCUCCUCUCGCCUCGCUGCGCAUGCGCAAUCCCCGCUACGCCUUUUUUCUCUCUCCCGUUUCGAUCGUUGAACCGCCGCGCGUUCCGUUCACCCGUACGCCGCUUUAUUUCUCUUCCCGAGCCCACGGCCGCGAUUUUCUGCCGUUAAAACGCCGUUAGCGUUCCGAAAGCCACGCGGAAAUUCACAAAGCGAUAAAAAUACACACGCGUUUGCUUUGACGCUGAUCGGCCGCGUUUUCCCGUUGCUGCGGAGGAAAGCGGCGCAGGCCGGUGCGAAAAACGCGCGUUCAGCACCGAUUAAACCGACAAAAAUCCACCGAAAUGCGUCCGCUCGGUUUUCCGGCUCUUCAACGCUGCGCGCCGCCAUUUUGGUGCCGCACUUCCGGUUUUGUGGCGCGGCGUGAUGACGUCACUUCCGUCGCGGGUUGAAGGUAUAAAAGGGGGCGGAGCGGGGCGGCGCCAUUAAAGUUGCAUUGAAGCGGCUGCUGGGCGGACCGUUAUCCAGGUAAUUAAUAACCGUUAGUUAAUGAUUAAUUAGCGAUUGGUUC
This is a long non-coding RNA of Phasianus colchicus (ring-necked pheasant), 1572 nucleotides long. The record is from Ensembl. Lineage: Eukaryota; Metazoa; Chordata; Aves; Galliformes; Phasianidae.